AUGGCCCGCAUUGCGGCGUUCUUGCUGGUGGCCCUGCUCUCCUUAGCCGGGCAUCUCGCGCAGUCCGCGCCAUGCCGAUCAUGCCCGCCCACAAAGCCUUCCCAGCCUGCACCGUGUAAGCACAAGUCCUCACCAUCGUCCAUACCCUGCCCUCCACCUUCACAAACUCCCAUGCCCUCAACCACACCCACACUCACCCCGGUGACUCCGACGCCGGCACCGACCCCGACUGUCUUCAUCCCUCCACCUACAAACACUCCGGCACCCACGCCCAUACCGGCCUCUGUAACUCCAACAUCGGCACCGACCCCUAUGAUGCCUCCAAUACCAACCCCUAUAACUCCAACGCCGGUACCAGCUCCUCUCUCUCCAACACCAACACCGGUGGCCCCAACACCUACAACCGUGAUGCCGCCGACACAGAUGCCUAUGGCACCAAUGCCGGCACCGACCCCUGUAUCUCCAACGCCAAACCCGGUGGCCCCAAGACCUAUCCCUGUGAUGCCGCCAACACCGACGCCGGCAUCGACCCCUAUCUCUCCAACGCCAAGUCCGGUGGCGCCAACACCGACCCGUGNNNNNNNNNNGGUGGCCCCAACACCGACUCCUAUGAUACCGCCAUCACCAACCCUUGUGACUCCGAUGCCAGCACCAACCCCUGUCUCUCGAACGCCAAUCCCGGUGGGCCCAACACCGACCCUCGUGAUGCCGCCAGCACCCACCCCUGUGACUCCGACGCCACCCCCAGCCCCGGCCCCAGCGCCGGCUACAUCGACCGGCAAGUGCCCCGUGGACACACUGAAGCUACUUGCGUGCGUGGACGUGCUCAAUGGGCUGUUGCACGCGGUGAUCGGCAGUAGCGCCAGGAAUACAUGCUGCCCGCUGCUGUCCGGCGUUGCCGACCUCGACGCUGCUCUCUGCCUUUGCACCACCAUCAACGUCAAGGCCCUCAACAUCAACCUCAUGCUGCCCAUCGCCAUCGAGGUGCUCGUCAACCAGUGCGGCAAGAGAGUGCCGAAAGACUUCCGCUGCCCUAAUUAA
RNAcentral lists this ribosomal RNA (1041 nucleotides) under Triticum aestivum (bread wheat). RNAcentral's name for it is "partial small subunit ribosomal RNA". Lineage: Eukaryota; Viridiplantae; Streptophyta; Magnoliopsida; Poales; Poaceae. The record is from RNAcentral.